CCUACGGGAGGCUGCAGUGGGGGAUAUUGCACAAUGGGGGGAACCCUGAUGCAGCGACGCCGCGUGGGUGAAGAAGCGCCUCGGCGCGUAAAGCCCUGUCAGCAGGGAAGAAAAUGACGGUACCUGAAGAAGAAGCCCCGGCUAACUACGUGCCAGCAGCCGCGGUAAUACGUAGGGGGCAAGCGGUAUCCGGAUUUACUGGGUGUAAAGGGGGCGCAGUCGGCGAUGCAAGCCAGGAGGGAAAGCCCGGGGGCCAACCCCGGGACUGCUCUUGGAACUGCGUGGCUGGAGUGCAGGAGGGGCAGGCGGAAUUCGUGGUGUAGCGGUGAAAUGCGUAGAUAUCAGGAGGAACACCGGUGGCGAAGGCGGCCUGCUGGAGUGCAACUGACGUUGAGGCCCGAAAGCGUGGGGAGCAAACAGGAUUAGAUACCCGAGUAGUC
This 440-nucleotide ribosomal RNA is filed under the name uncultured bacterium. RNAcentral's name for it is "partial 16S ribosomal RNA". It matches the Rfam family "Bacterial small subunit ribosomal RNA", at positions 338 to 795 of the family's 1533-position model. The record is from RNAcentral.